GCUCAGGAUGAACGCUAGCUACAGGCUUAACACAUGCAAGUCGAGGGGUAGCAGGGUAGCAAUACCGCUGACGACCGGCGCACGGGUGAGUAACACGUAUCCAACCUUCCCAUAACUCGGGGAUAGCCUUUCGAAAGAAAGAUUAAUACCCGAUAGUACUUUAUUAAGGCAUCUUAUUAAAGUUAAAGAUUUAUUGGUUAUGGAUGGGGAUGCGUUCCAUUAGAUAGUUGGUGAGGUAACGGCUCACCAAGUCUUCGAUGGAUAGGGGUUCUGAGAGGAAGGUCCCCCACAUUGGUACUGAGACACGGACCAAACUCCUACGGGAGGCAGCAGUGAGGAAUAUUGGUCAAUGGGCGAGAGCCUGAACCA
RNAcentral lists this ribosomal RNA (369 nucleotides) under uncultured Bacteroidales bacterium. Its description in RNAcentral is "bacterial SSU rRNA". It matches the Rfam family "Bacterial small subunit ribosomal RNA", at positions 22 to 390 of the family's 1533-position model. Lineage: Bacteria; Pseudomonadati; Bacteroidota; Bacteroidia; Bacteroidales. The record is from RNAcentral.